CCUACGGGUGGCAGCAGUGAGGAAUAUUGGUCAAUGGACGAGAGUCUGAACCAGCCAAGUAGCGUGAAGGAUGACUGCCCUAUGGGUUGUAAACUUCUUUUAUAUGGGAAUAAAACGUUCCACGUGUGGGAUUUUGUAUGUACCAUAUGAAUAAGGAUCGGCUAACUCCGUGCCAGCAGCCGCGGUAAUACGGAGGAUCCGAGCGUUAUCCGGAUUUAUUGGGUUUAAAUGGAGCGUAGGUGGAUUGUUAAGUCAGUUGUGAAAGUUUGCGGCUCAACCGUAAAAUUGCAGUUGAAACUGGCAGUCGUGAGUACAGUAGAGGUGGGCGGAAUUCGUGGUGUAGCGGUGAAAUGCUUAGAUAUCACGAAGAACUCCGAUUGCGAAGGCAGCUCACUGGACUGCAACUGACACUGAGGCUCGAAAGUGUGGGUAUCAAACAGGAUUAGAUACCCCAGUAGUC
RNAcentral lists this ribosomal RNA (460 nucleotides) under uncultured bacterium. RNAcentral describes it as "partial 16S ribosomal RNA". It matches the Rfam family "Bacterial small subunit ribosomal RNA", at positions 338 to 795 of the family's 1533-position model. The record is from RNAcentral.